UCCCCGGUCGCCUAAACGGCAGGGCAGCGGCCUGUUAAGCCGCCGAGCAACGCUCAUUCCUGGUUCGAGUCCAGGUCGGGGAGCCC
This 86-nucleotide transfer RNA is filed under the name Mycobacteroides abscessus 6G-0728-S. RNAcentral describes it as "tRNA-Asn". It matches the Rfam family "tRNA". Rfam says of the family: Transfer RNA (tRNA) molecules are approximately 80 nucleotides in length. The record is from RNAcentral. Lineage: Bacteria; Bacillati; Actinomycetota; Actinomycetes; Mycobacteriales; Mycobacteriaceae. RNAcentral also lists the same sequence under 4 other names.